Long non-coding RNA from Papaver somniferum (opium poppy), 3518 nucleotides. RefSeq lists it as uncharacterized. NCBI's taxonomy places the organism in Eukaryota, Viridiplantae, Streptophyta, Magnoliopsida, Ranunculales, Papaveraceae. The transcript is spliced from 6 exons. The record is from RefSeq and is a predicted model, not a curated record.
UAUAAAAAUUCUAAUCAGACUAUCCUAAUUUUUUGGAUCACGGAUUAAUCCAAGAUGAUGAAAUGAUUCAAUUGAAAAAAAAGGAAGAGUUUACGUGAUGAAGGAGAGGAAAUUAGAAGAAGAGGAGCAAAAUUUUUUUUUGAUAUAAAAUUAAAUUUUAAUUUUAGUUUUUAGGUUAUUAUUUUAGAUUGAGGAUAACUUACACAUUUUAUAUUGUAUGAAGAUGUCUCACAAUCAAAUUUUCAGUCACCAGAAAUCCAUGUGAAGUCCCGGAAUGUGACGCCCCAAUUUGUCUAGUUAAAAUGCAUUCCGCUCCUGCUCUUGUGUCAUCCCCCCACCCCUCAAAAAAAUAAAUAAAAAAUGAACCCUAGAAUUUUCCCAUUUUGAAAAUGAAAACCUGUGUUAGAAUUUCUGUAAGACUAGGAGUCUAAUCUCUAGUUGUAAGAUUUUUCUGGUUUUGAUUGAAGUUAUGGAGGGUGUAGGGAAGAAUCAGACGAAAAAGAUAAGAUUAAGAUUAAAGAAAGAGAGAAAGCAAGGGAGAGAGGAGGAAUUUCUGGCUUCUUCUUCAGAUACUGUAUCUGCAUCUACCAUCUCCGAAGAAGAUCUCGAAAAACUAAUGAAUUCCAUCAAAAAGGAACCAUAUUUGAAACCUAUUGUUGAAGAUAUUGAGAUUGGUGGUCCAAUUGUAAUGAUGAUGUACUUGAAUAAUCCAGAGGUUCUACUCAAGUUGGGGAAGGCUAUGGGAUUUGUAGAUUCAAAUGGAGAAUUUAAAAUAGCGGCUGUGGCUGAUUAUAUAGAAGAUAAAGAACCACCACACCUCUGGUGUUAGCUGAUUACCAUGAGAUUACCACUUGCAUGCGGAGUUGAUUAAGGUAACAAAAAAAAUUAUGGAGGGAAGGGCAACCUUGUGGAUCAUCUAACAACAGUUCAGAGAAUUCAAAUUCAAGACAAGGGAAGAUUUGUUUUGUUUUGUUUUCUAUAUGAAUAGUUCUACACCCAAUGAGAUAAAAAUUGUGAUUUCUCCUAUGAAAUUCUUUUGAGAAAGUGAUUUCAUGUAGAGCAUUUCCAAUGCUAGUGUCAAAUAAAUCUUUUGUGGAGGUCAUGGUUAUUUGAGGUUAAUCAUGUAUGGAAGAAUACCUUUUAGCUGGGGUCUUUUAACUCUCCAUGUAGUCAUUAUGGAUUCAUCAUCUUUGAGUUCAGAAAAAGUGGAUAAUUUGAAGAUGCAGUGUUGGAUAUCGGAUGACUUUGAGGCUUGCAUCACCCUAUUAACUAGGAUUUAGUGUCCAGACCUUAUAAUGAAGGGGGUUUGGGUUUACGAAAUGUGGAAAUCACUAAUUGUGCUGCUAAUUUGAGGCACAUGAUGAGUGGUAAAAGCACUAUAUGGACUGAGUGGAUUCAUAAGAGCAUCAUCAACAAUUAAGAAGCUGAUUCUGAAUUGUUUUGUUUAUCAUGUCUGGAGAUAAGCAGGAUUUUACAAGUGAAUUUAGCAGAUCAAGUGGGUUACUCGAUUUUAGAUGAUGUGAGAAGUAGGGUGCUCCCCAUUUCCUGCAAAGUUGAGGAUAACUCCUAUUCUAGGAGCAUUAUGGACAGACUGAUAGUUAGUUGUGAAUUUAUGUUGCCUGUUAUUGAGUUCUGCUCUUGGCUUGCUCCCGAGCCUGAUUUUGUUAUGAUUAACUCUGUUGGUUCAAAGAAGUUUCUUACUGGUGGUUUGGGAGCUGUGUCGAGAACCAGUUCUGGUGGUGUUAUUGCAGCUGCAAUGGGAGGUUUCCCUCAAUUUCUGUUAAUGCUCAUGAAUUACAGGAUGUAGAGCUGGGGUUAAACCUGGCUAUUGUGAGAGGUCAGAUUUGGCGAAGAGUGGAGAGACUGAGAUCAUUUUUUGAGGUCUUGAAGAUUUCCCAUAUCUAUGGGGAAACUAAUAGAGCUGCGAAUCUACUUGCGGGUUACCAUCCUCUUAUCAAAUGGGUAGAUGUGGGAAUAGAUGAGCUCUCUCCCGAGUUAUGUGACAUUAUUAGAGAGGAUAGAGGGGGGGAAUUUACUCCCGUAGUUAGUUGUUUUGUUUUUGUGUAGAGGAAAAGCUAACAGGUUAGCAAACAACAUGCUAUUACAUGCAUAAGCAACUUAUUGAUUAGAAAACUGCAUGACUGGUUAUAUGUUAUCCUGGGUCUUAGGAAACUUCGCACUGGAAUCAUCUUUGCUGAUGCUGCCCAAAAGAAGAGUGGCUGAGUGUGUGGCGUCUUCUAGUGGAGUCAGUUGCAACUUGUAAGUCUAUCUACGAGUGGCUACUACCAACUCUUCCCGGGAAUAUGCUGAUGCUGAGAUUGCAAUUCGUGCUGUCAUGAAAAGAUAUCUUGCAGCUCUUAUUGAGACGAAGACACCAAAAUUCGCUUUCAUGUUCUUGACUCCAGAUUACCUUUCGAAAAGCUAUGGGGUAAGUCCUUCGAUGAAGAGGGGCUGAAUGGGUAUUAACUUCAGCAAGAGCAUUCUCUUCCCAUUCCCAAACUGGAAACCCAUGUUGGAGUCCUUUGGAAGCCACAGUACGAUCAAACGUUUGCUUGAGAAGACGAUUUCCAGGAGUUCAUGCAUGGUUGAGAAAUAUGCAUUCCUGAUCGUUUAUACUCGCAUGAUAUUGGCACAAAAGAAGACAGUUUUAGCAAAGAUGAGAGAAAAUUGGCUUAUACAAGGGGAUCACACGUAUCAAAUGUUCGGCAUCCAGCUAAAAGUAUGUCUUGUUCGGAUGGACCUGCCAUACAAACACCUGAUGGUUCGUUUUCCUUUAUAGUUGCAAGAGCAAGCUCAACAUAGGCAUCUAUGUUGCACAGAGAUACAGGAUAAAGACCCGUAGUAAACUGAACCAGAUGGCAUGGCAAAGGUUGUGUAUUGUAGCUCCUGCUUCUACUAGUUUGGAUAACCACAUAUCUCAGCUGUCCUACAUGUAGUGAGAUGGGAGUCACAACACCACCAGUGGAAAAUCAGGCGUUCAGGGGUAGUGAGAUGGGAAAUGCCACCAGAUAAUACACCAGCGUGGUGAACAGAUUCUGUUGCAGAAGGUGGAAGCACCACUGUGAAUGGUACAGCUGAUAAUAUGUGCUCUGGAUUGGCAUCAAUAUGCAUUGAUAAUGAACCUACUCCUGAUACAGCUCCUAAUCACCAAUCGUUUAAAUAACAUAGACCAGGCUAUGCAACAGUAUCAUUUGGAAGACAUUACUAUUCUCCAUCCUCACUGCCGGUGUGUUGCUUUCACGCGAGCAAUCUGAUUGGUGUUCGGAGUUACCCUCACAAGUGAUACCAGAAGUAUACAGCCAAGUAAAUGAAGCUUCAUGAUCAUAACUACAAAUAUAGGUACAUCCAUGGAAUAGAAGCCUGUCGUGCUUCAUAAACUCAAAUGGCUCCGUUCUACAAUUGGGAAAACUAUACUCUUUACUCCAACUCCAGUCAUUAUUAUCUUUAUUCUUCUUUAGAAACCAUAUGUCACAAUUGUCUGCGAAGCUAUUAAUAGCACAUAAAAAAAAAAAAAAAAA